CCAUGACUCACGGGUUGUGGAUCGGGAUGGCCUGCGGCUGCUGCUGAUGCUACUGGAGCUACUACUACUGCUUAAGUAGCGGAGGCUGAAGGUGGCUGCUGCGAAGGAGGAUGGCAGACGUCAGUGGUGGAAAAGACUGAGGAGGAGGCGGCUGGAACUGGGUGAAUAGCGAGAGAGGAAGAACUAUCGUCUCACUUUGGCCUUUGGGUUGGGUGAUGAUGGCGCUUUGCUUUAGGGUUUCUUAAAAAAAAAACACCUGUACAGAGUUUAAUUAUUUUUAAGUCAUUUUUUAAUGGCAAAAAUUAAAAACAGAACUCUUUAACAAUAGUUUAGUCUAUUCACAGCAUGUUUGGGCAGUUUAUUUGCUAAAAAAUAAUUUUUUUAAAAAAAAAAUUUUAAAAAAAUAUUUUAUGAUGUUUGGUAGUGUAAUAGAAAAUAAAUUGGAAAACAUUUUCUAGUAUUUGGUUAUGUCAUGGAAAAUAAGCUGGAAAAUAAUUCUUAAUGUUUUAUUUUUCUCAAGUUUAUUAAAAUAAUUAGGAACAAAUCUUACAAAUUAAAAAGUUGAAUAAGAAUGAAAUUGAAAAAAAAUAUAAUUUCAUAAAUUAUCUCAAAUAAAAUAAAUAAUAAUCAAAAUAAUAGAGAUCAAAUCUAAAAAAUUUAAAAAAAUAAAAGAUGAAGAAAUUAAAAUAAUAAUAAUUAACAUUUCAUAAAUUAUUUCAAAUAAAAUAAGUAACAAUCAAAAUAAUAAGAACCAAAUUUGAUAGAUAAAAAAUUUCAAUAAAAAAAUGAUAAGGAAAAAGCAAAUAGCAAUUAUAAAACUAAUGACCAAAGUUAAUAUAAAAAUUAAAUUUUAAGAGAUGAAAUUGAAAAAUAAAUAUUCAAAACAAAUUAUAUAUAGCAAUCAAAAGUUUGAGGAUCAAAUUUGAUAUAAUCAGCAAAUAAUGACAUUUCUAAAUUUUUCACAACUACCGGAAAGUGUUUUCCGCCUAAAUUUUCCAGGAAAAUUCUUUCCUGAAAACCAAGCCAAAUUUUUCUUUGACUGGAAAGUGUUUUCCGUUGACCAACUUUUCUAAUGGCAAACAAACACAAGAAAGUUUGGAAAGUGAUUUCCUAGAAACCACUUUCCGGAAAACAAACACAGCCAAGAGGGAAAACACUUUCUUGGAAACCAAAUCAAAUUUUUCUUUGACUGGAAAGUGUUUUCCGUUGACCGGAAAGUGUUUUCCGUUGACCGGAAAGUGUUUUCCGUUGACCAACUUUUCUAAUGACAAACAAAUACAGGAAAGUUUGGAAAAUGGUUUCCCGGAAACGACUUUCCGAGAAACAAACAUGGCCUUAAACUUACUUGUAUUUCAAAAAAUGGCAAUGAAACUAAGUUUUUUUAACUUACUUAUAUUUUUAAAAUAAUAUUGAAAUUAUUAUUUUUUCUAAUUGGAUUUUAAAACCCACAAUAACAUAUUAAAAUUUACUCCAUCAAGGUUUCAAGGUAAAUAAUAUUACUAUUAUUUUUUUGAUGAUUGAUAUAAAACGUGUUUGAAAGUAUGGUAAAUAUUAUUUUUUCACUUGAAAAUGUAUAAAAAUAAUAUUUUUUAUUUUUAAAAAUUUAUUUUUAACAUCAGCACAUCAAAACGAUUCAAACAAUAUAAAAAAUAAUUAAUUUGAAACUAAAAAAAAUCAAAAAAAUUCAAAAGCGCAAUUGGAACGCAAUGCUAAACAAUGUCAUAAUGUGUUUGAUAUUGUAGUGUAAAGUGUUUUUCAUUUAAAAAUGCUUUAAAAUAAUAUUUUUUAUAUUUUUCUAAUAUUUUUGAUAUCAUCACAUCAAAACUAUUAAAAAAAAUAAAAAACAUUGAUUUAAUACUUUUUAAAAUGAAAUGUAAUUUUAAAACAUACCCAAAAAUAGAAUUUACCAUGCUCCCAAACACAAGUAAUGGAUUACUCCCAAACACUAGUAAUUGAUUUCUUCAUCUUUUUUCUUAUUGAGAAAUAUUUGACUGAAGUAAUGAUCGUGUAUUUGAUAUUGUGAUAGUUUUUAGUAUUGUAAAUUUAAAAAAGUGAGUUUAGGAAAAAUAUUUUUAGUUGUUAUUUAGAAAAAUUGGGCUUAAAAAAUGCAUGUUUAGUUAAAAAUAUUGUGAGAUGAGUUUUUGAAUGUAUAAUAAAUAAAAAACAGUUUUUCAUGAAUGAAAAGCUUCUAUAAAACUAAGAUUUGAAACAUAAUUAUACGUGAGGUUUACUACAAAAUGUGAAGCCUGGUAUAAGAAAAUACAAGCUAUUUAAUUAAUGAAAUCAUUUUUACUAUGUAUAAAAAAAUAAAAUAUUAAACAGUGUACAUCAAGAAAGAAAAAACCUUAACUUUCCCAUUAUACCAAAUUAAUUUAUUUUCACUGAUUACAGUUAUAAAGAGAACGACACAUCACAUUAUAAUAAUUAAGAUAUUUGGUUAUCGGCCAUAAUCAUGUCAUUUGCUAGUAAAUUGUUGUGUGAUUGAUGAUUAAUCAAAUGCAAGCCUCUUUUAGUUUAAUUAUAAAUAUUAAAUUAUUAUGAUAUAGUAGAGCCAAGUUAAAUCAACUAGGGCAUGUUCAUCCUUUCCUUGAACCUCACAGAAAGAAAAUAAAUUACAAUGUAGUUAAAAAAAAAUUAUUAUGACUAAAAGAUUAACAAGGGUGACACGAAUUGUUUGAAUGAUCAUUGUCUUCAAUUAUAAGGUGGCAGGGUAAGGGAAAAAAUAAAAAUUAGUUACUGAGCAUUAAAAUUGUCAGGCUAUGGUGACAUCCCUACAUGAGCAUCAUAUGAUAAGCCAUGUAACCUCCUUACAUUUUUAUAUGGACACUCUCUAAAGCAAGCCAUAUGUAUGUCCAUUUAAAAGUCAUUCUUUCUUUGGUUGCAACUCGGGAUGGAAGUAUCCUCCUAUGGAAUGGACUAAAUUGAAUAUGGAUGAAUGUAGUACAACAAUAUGGGGUUUGCAGGCACUGGAGGACUGUUGCGGGAUAGUAUGAAGUCUUGGAUCAAGGGGUUUACUAUCACAUAGGUAUGUGUUCUUUGGUCUAGGCUAAGUUGUGUGCAGUAAUUAUUUGAUUGGAACUUGCUUAUUCCCUUGGAUUACGAAGAAUCAUUUUGGAAUCUAACUCAUUGUUAGUAGUGCACUUGAUCACAAAGAACAUUGUCAAAGUGGAUGCUAACUACGCUUUGAUUAAUAAAGUGAAGGCGAUUCUAGAGAGGGAAUGGGAAGUCAAGCGUCAACACAUUUUUCAAGAAGCUACUACAGUAGCUGAAUGGUUAGCAAAUUUUGGCUUAACAAAGAGUCCUCUCAAUAGGGAUUACGGGAUUAUUAAUGACCCGUCUUUGGGUUUAUUCUUGAUUUUGUACUAUGACCUGAUUGGGUCAACGUUGCCUUGAUUAAUUUAAUUUGAGUGUUAAGCCCUAAUUGUUAACAAUAAAAAAAAACAAACAAAACUCCUUUUCUUUUUUAGAUAGAAGAUAAAGACAAUAAUGUCUUUUCAACUACAUAAUCAUCAAUGAUACAGGUUACCCCUUUUUUCUCCUUUACUUGCUUUUCUUUGUUUUUAUUUUUCUUUUUAGUCUUAAUUGGGAUUUGAAUUAUAGGCGUUGAGAAGUCAUGCCUGCUCUUGCAAUUCACUGGCAAAAAAUUCCACCCCAUUCAUGAUCUCACCAUCGAUGUUGAAUUUGGAGCUCGCAUGGCCACCAUUGAUGUGCUCACCCUAUUAAGCUUCAAACUUGGGACAUUAUAUUUUUUUUUCUUUUUUUCUUGAUAAUUUUGUUUAGAUAACAAGAGUUUCAAGUUCACUUGAUUAUGACGGCCUUUUGUUGAAUUUCAUAAAUUAGUUAUUUAUUUGCUAAUUAACUGCACUUUUUUAAUUAAAGAAUAUGUUAAGCUAAUGGCUUAACAAGGAAAGAAAUUGAGAGAAAAGAGAAGAAGAAAAUCAGAGAAGUGGAUAGAGAAAAGGAAAUACAUUGUUUUAUUAUUACUUAUCUCAUGUUAUUCACAUUAUUCUUAUUUAUAGAAUGUAGUAAAAGCUAUUGUUGCAACUAGUUAUCCCUUUCCAGUAACUAACUUCAACUAACUACUAACUACCAUUAACCAACUUGUAAACUCAUGAUCCAUAUGUUUAAUCUCAUUUGUUCCUGCACUGCUACUUCUACACAUCUAUGUUGCUUAAUCUGCUUAAUGGAAUGAUUGCAACAAUACUUUAUCCCUCCAAUUGAUUCCUGACAUCAAGAAUCGAAAUAGAACUCAAGAAAUUGUUGUUGAGUCUUUUCUAAUUCUUCAUAUGUUGCAUCAUCAAGAAAGGAAUUAGACCAUUAGAUUAAUCCUACCACCACAACCUUAUAAUCCUUUUUCAUAAGCUUCAUUUCCAAAAUUGCUAGUGGACAAAUCUUAAUCUUGCCACCAUCAUCCAUUACUGGCAAGUUAGAUGAAACUACACUCUCUUCACCAAUUUUUUAUUUCAAAAGUGAAACAUGAAAGACAAGUUGGAAUGAGCUGCCUUCUAGUAAUCUUAGUUUGUAAACUACAGUGCCAACUCUCGUAAUGAUUUUGUAUGGACUAUAAUGCCUAGGAUUCAACUUAUAAUUCCUCCUAAGAGAUAAAUUGUCUUGUCUAUAUGGUUGCAACUUUAUAAAUACCUAAUCUCCUUCUGCAAAUUCAUGUUCAAUCCUUCUUUUAUCUACCAUCCACUUCAUUUUGUUUCUUAUUGUUUAUAGUUUAUUCUUCAACAUUUUAUCCAUAUUAAGUCUUAUUCGCACUAACUUUUCCACGACAACAACUGGAGUAGAGUCAAUUGGGAGCAUAUCUCUAGUUGGUGGUAUGAUAAUACUUAAAAUGGAGUCGUGCCUAUAGUAGAAUGAAAGUUGUUAUUGUACCACCACUGUGUAAGAAAGAGCCCCAAACACCAUUUCUUUGGGUUAUCCAUAGUCAUGCACCUCAAGUAUAUCUUCAAGCAUUGGUUCAUCCUCUCUGUCUGGCCAUCAGUUUUGAGGAUGAUAUGAGGUGCUCGUUAGCAAUUUAACUCCCUACCUCUUGAAUAGUUCUUUCCAUAAAAAGCUUGUGAAAACCUUGUCCCUGUCAAUAACUAUUGUGGCAGGUGAUCCAUGAAAUUUGUAAAAAUAGUCCAAGAAUAUGUGAGCAAUAUCCUGAGCUGAAAAAAGAUGAGAUAAUGCUAUGAAAUACCUAUAUUUUAUGAAUUUAUUUACAAAUACCAAAAUAAUAUCUUUCCUUUCUGACUUGGGCAGUUCCUCAAUGAAUUCCAUUGAGAUGUCUUCUCAUGCCUUCUUGGAAGUUGGUAAGGGUUGUAGUAAUCCUGGGUAAGAUACAAUUUUUGCUUUAGCUUGGGAACAUAUGUCACACUAUUAGACAAACUCUUUCAUUGGCUUCUUUAUGGAUGGCUAAUAGAAAUGAACCUUAAGACUUUUGUAAGAGUUUUGCAUUCCAACAUGAUUGUCAAUGCAGAAAUUAUAUGUAAUCUACACUAAUUGAUUUCUCAAGGGUUCAUUGUCUCCAAAUACUAAUUUGCCCUUAUACUUUAGAAUGCCUUCUAAUAAGUAAAAUCUACAAAUCUGCUUGCAUUUAUUAUCAUACUAAUAAUUAUCUCCUAUGUUGUUUUGUCAUUGUUGUAUGAACCAUAAAUGUCUUCAUACCAAGCAAGCACCAAUCUGGUUACUGCACUAAAAUCACCUCCCUCACUUUUUUUUAUCUCCAUGUUGGUCGGUUCUAUAGUUGUAUUUUCUUGAUAAAGCAUCUGCAACCACAGUUUCUUUCCCUUUUAUGUAUAAAAUUUGAUAACGCAAUCCUAUUAAUUUAGUUAGUCCUUUCUUCUGAGUAAUGGUGUGGAUCUUCUGGUCCAGUAGAUGUUUAAGACUCUUAUGAUCGGUUUGGAUUACAAAUUGUUCAUGUUUUAGGUAGUGUUUUAAUUUGUCUACUAUAAUUAAAAUUGUCAAACACUCAUUCUCAUAUAUGGAUAACCCCACAUGUUUGCCUACCAAGGCCUUGCUAAAAAAAGUAAGAGGUUAGCCCUCUUGAUUGAGCACUGCUUCUAACCUUGCAGCACAUGUAGGGGUGAGCAAAUUAACCAAAAAACCGAUUUAACCGAGAAAACCGAAAAAAAUUAACCGAAAAAACCGAACCGAUAAAAAAAACCGAUUGAACCAGUUAAAAUAUUUAGGAAAAUGUCCGGUUCGGUUCGGUUUCUGGUUUUGGUGUGCCUGAAUCGGCCAACCCAAACCGAACCGAACCGGUUCGGUUUAGGAAUGAAAAAAAAUAUUAAACCAGGCGGUCUUAGCCGCGUGCGCCGCGUCCUCUCAUUACUUUCCCUUUCAACAACUAGGGCAUACCAUUUAAAAUUCAAUUUUCUGCUUUCCUUUCACACAGCCGCCGUCUCCUCUCCAACCUGAUUUCUAGUUUUAGACCUCAGAACAUUCCCUCUCCUUUCAAAAAUCCAUCACCCGUGAUAAAAAAUCUGGUCUUCCUAUCUCUAAUAACGUCCUUGAGCUGUCUGAUAGCGUCGACAUAGCCGCUACAAACAUGUCUGCAACCUCCUUCAGUGAUACUUUUAUGCUCCAAGAAUCUCAACAAAAUCUUUUACUUGAAUGAAAACCUAACUGUAUUGUUCAUGACGUGUUUCAUCGCUGGUCUGUUGUUGCUAUUGACAGUGUUGACAUUCCAAGAAUUACUUUGAAUGGGAAUAAAUUCUUCGCUUGUUGUGUCCGAGAAAAUAUGGAAUGCUAUAAGCCCCAUGAGAAAGUAACUUCUGAUUUGGAGCCUUUUAUUGUUCCAGGUCUUUUUGAUAGGAUUGAAUUGACCACAUCUCAACUACCAGUCUUUGGAAGACAAUCACAUGGUGAAGACCAACAGACCAAAGAUGCAAAACACCUUAACACCAUAGGUUUUUCCGGUUUUGGACCUCAAAAACCGGACCCAAACCGAACCGGAACCGGUCGGUUUGGACCGGUUCCGGUUUGGUUUGGGUCCCUUUUUUUUAACGGUUUGGUUGUUUUUUAAAGGUAAAAACCGAACCGAACCGAAAAUGAUCACCCCUAAGCACAUGUGUCUGUAUACAAUACAAAAGUUUUAGUGAAAUCAGGUAAGGCUAAGAUUGGAGCCUUACAUAAAGCCUUCUUUAGCAUAUCAAAAGCUUUUUAUGCUCCUUUAUUUUAUCCAAAACUAUUUUUCCAUGGCAAAUCUGUAAGUGGUUUGCUAAUGAUACCAAAUCCUAUAGUGAACUUUCUAUAGUAGCCUACCAAACCAAGAAAACCCCUAAGCUCUUUUAAUGAUUUUGGUGAUGGUCAUUCCUUCAUUGUUUUUGUCUUCAUGGAUUUAAUAACAAUUCCAUCUGCUAAGAUUACAUGCCCAAAUAUUCCACUUGCCGCUUACCAAACAUAUAUUUGGAUUUCUUUGCAUAUAAUUGAUUAGCAUGAAGAGAUUUUAGAACAUGUUUCAAGUAAUGUAUAUGUAAUUCUAAGUAAGAACUAUAAACUAAUAUGUCAUAAAAAAAAAUACUAAAACAAACUUCCUUCAAAAAGGUUUUAUGAUGUUUGGAACAUAGCAAGCUUAUGAAUGAAUUAAAUGGAAAUUUAGGUCUCUUUAGAAGAUUCUUAUUUCCUCUUUGGUGAAAGAGGAAAAAGGCAUGUGGGAGAAAGAAUUCUUAAAGGAGAAAAUCUUUCAUCCACCACAUCAAGCGGGACAAAGCUAGACCCCUAAACAAUUGAAGGUUCUCGCUCAUCUAUUAUUAUCCAUAUCAUCUGAAAAACUUUUCAUAUUCCAUUAACAUUUAUGAGUGCUUAAAAGGUGGCAGGUGUGUUUGUGAGGCUAAAUGACAUUACUUUAAACUCAUAGUGUCCUGGAUAGGUUUAAUGCAGUUUUCUCGAAAUCUUCUUCCUUCAUAUGGACUUGAUGAUAGCUAGAUUUGAGGUCUAGUUUAGAAAAGAAUUUGAACCCCUAUAGCUCAUCUAAUAAGUCAUCAAUUAAAGGGAUUAGGAACUUAUUCUUGAUAGUUACCUCAUUAAGUUGUCUAAAAUCCACUCAAAAACACUAUGUAUUGUCCUCUUUUUUUACCAAUAAUAUAGGUGAAGCAAAAGGGCUCAUACUUUAUUGGAUUAUGUCACUUUCUAGCAUCUAUUUGACUAGCCUUUCUAUUUCUCCUUUAUGAAUAAAUGAGCUUUUGUAGGGUCUGUGAUUGACUAGUUGACCUCUUGGUUUUAAAUGAACUCUAUGAUCAAACUUCCUCACCAGUGGAAGGCUUAUAGGUUCCUCAAACAUCAUUGCAUACCUUCGAAAUAAGAGGGGGGAAUUUUCUGGGCUUCCUGGUUAGCAGCAAAGGAAUGAAGCCCAAUCCUAAGAAAAUUCAAGCAAUUCUUGACAUGACUCCUCCGCAAAAGAUAAAAAAUGUCAGUGUCUUACCGAAAGGUUUGCUGCCCUGAACCGAUUCAUAUCCAGGCUGGGAGAAUGCAGCUUACCUUUCUUCAAAACCUUAAAAAAACAUCAUUUUUUUUAUCAAAUGUAAGAAUUUAUAGAUCAAAACUAAACAAGCUGGAAACCAGCAGUACAUAUGUACAGAGAUAAACAGGCAAAGGGAACAGACUCCUUUAAGAAAACCAAAGCAAGCAGAUCUUGCUAAACAGAAAUAAUCUAAGCCAACCACAUAAAAGGCUUGUGCUGGGAAACAACCUCCCCAGAACAAGCAAACUGGCAAUAAGCACAACAAUGUGCAGAACAAAGAACUGAACAAGGGAACAGGCUCCCUUAUGCGGACAAAAUAAACCGAUCCACCAACCUAACAGCUGCUGAAUCCCAGAAAGCUUAGGGAACAGGCUCCCGUAGCAAAUCAGGAACCAGAACACUGAGUACUCAAACCAGCAGCAAAGGCAACCAACAACAUCAAGCCAGUUGAAAAGCCAACACAACAGCAAGAGAACCAGCAGAACAACAUGAAAACAAGCAGACCAAACCAGCCCCCAUGCGGGGACAAAUAGCCUAGAGCUAAGCUAGCACAACCACAAUCCAAGAAGAGCAUCCAAUAAGGACACGCUACCCAGAGAGCAACAUAGCCGGGGGGAUCAGACUCCCACAAAGCCCAUGCAAGAGAAAUCUAGCAACCAAAAACCAGAGGCAACAAGCCAGCAAGAAGAAUGCAGAGCCAAAGGUAGGACCAUUAGAGGAAAACUGACUUCAAUCAGGCUAGAAGAAGCCAAACGGAGAAGCCACAUGCAGGGCCAGAAAAUCCACCUGCAACCCAAACCAGCAAAACAGGCAAGAACAAAACAUCACAGCAACAGGCAAAUAAAACUGCAAUAACUAGAAAUUAGGCCUACAAAGGCAACACCAAAAUACAAUACUAGAAAACCCAAAAUAGACACAAGGACAUAUUCCUUGACCAAUAUUCCACAAGAGUAUAAUAUAUCAAAGGGAGAAGGAUGGAGUUGAAGCUGUGCUGCUCUGGAUCCUGGAAUCAGCCGAGGAGGAGCUUUUAGAAGGACCACUCUUUCCUAAUGACAUUCUUGAUCGGCCAAAGGCAGGGGUGGCAGCAGCUUUGCUCCUUGUCAAGUAUUGCCUCCUUGGAGGCAAUGUGGUAGCAGUGUCAAAGCGAUCUUUAGAGACGUGAACAACCCGAGGAGAGUCAGAAGAAGUAUCAGGGGAUCUAGGCUGUGAAGCCAGUUUUGCCCGCUUGCGAACAAAACAACGUGCUCUCUCUUCAACAGCUACACCUGCCUCAGCAGCCAUUGGAUCAACAUCCAGUUCUCCUUAAGGUUCCUUCCUGAUUGACUGUUUUUCAACAGCUUCAGUAUCAGCUGAGGGAUUGGAGUAUCUAGAGGGAGCAGAAGUUGUUGGGGGAUGCUUUUUGCGCUUAUGACUGGAAGAUUUGUUGCAUGCAGAAUUGGAAUGUCCCAGAAUGUUGCACUUCUUGCAAAACCAUGGCAGAGAUUCAUAUAACACUACCUGGGGUUUGGAAACACCAUUGGGGAGGGUGGUAUUGAUCGAUGAUGGUAAUUCAGCAAGUAAAUCAAUCUCAACCAGCACUCGGGCAUAAGAGAGUCGAGUUAUAGAGGUUGUUGGAGAAUCAUAAUACAUUGGUUUCCCUAUCACACUUGCUAGUUUAGAAAGACACAAUGGUGACCAGCACUGAAGAGGUAGGUUAGGGAAUUUAACCCAAAUUGGCAGUCGAACCAUAUCAGAAGUGUCAAAAUCAAAAUAAUCAGGCAUAAUUUUCAAUAUCAAGAGUCGGCGAAACACAUAGUAAGGCCUUCCACGGAGCACAUCAAUCAUGUCCGAUUCAGAUGCAAACUAAUAAACCGAUUCAGCUUUUUGAUAGAUUUAUAGUUAAAUGCUACUUUCAAAGCAAAAACCCGAACAAUCCUACGCCAACCAUUGAACUGGCAGUCCCUUCAAAAUUCACUCUCUCAACCCCACAUUGGGAACUAUAUGUUGAUAGGUCCUCCAAUUUUGAAGGGUGUGACACUAAAACAGUACUUGAAAGACCCAACAGACAAGUUUUUUAGUAUGAAAUUCAUUUCGAGUUCUCAUUUACCAACAACGUGUUAAAAUAUGAAGCUCUCCUAGCAGGAUUAGGUCUAGCAAAAGCUUUGAAAGCCUUACCCUUCCAUGACUAGAACAAUUCCCAGUUAAUAGUAAAUUAAUGCCAAGGGAUUUUUGAAAUGAGAAACCUUACUCUAAAAAAGUAUCUCUAAAAGGUCCAGACUCUCCUCUUAGGGAUAGAAAGGGUCAAGGAAAUUCUAAUUACCUGGAUUCUUAGAGAAGAGAACAUGAGAGCAAACCUCAUUUCUAAACUAGCAAGAUCCAACUUGGUCAACCUCUUAUUAGGAGUAUGGAUUGAAAUUCUCAAGAAAACAAGCAUAGAAAGAGGACUAAUAACUGCAUUUAUCGACAUAGAAAAUAAUUGGAGAACUAUUAUCGAGAAUUAUCGACUCACAUGAAAGUUGCUCUUAGAUAAAAACGAAGCCAUCUAUUUAACUAGACAUGUAAUCAAGUAUUGCAUGAUUGAUGAGAUCUUGUACAAGCGAUUUAUCUAGGCUUAUUUGUUGAAAUGCUUAUCCUUAACGAAGAGUGUUUAUGUUCUAAGAGAAAUUCACGAGGAAAUAUGCAAUCUAAACACCGAAUCUAGGGCUCUUAUAGCCCAUGUCAUUAGAACAAGGUUUUAUUGGCCAAUGAUCCUUAGUGAUGUUACUACUUUUAUGAAAUGGUGUGAUUAAUAUCAGAAAUUUACAUCAAUCUCUAAACAACCCUCUUCCAAGCUCAUCAUCAUACCUUCUCCGUGGCCAUUUGCCUAGUAGGGGGUAGACAUAUUAGACCUUUACCCAAAAGUCAUGGGAAAUAGAAAGUUCAUCUUGGUGGGUGUCGAUGACUUCACCAAGUGUGUCGAAGUAGAAGCAUUAGUAGUUAUCACCGUCAAUAAGGUCAUUUCUUUCUUAUGGAAGAACAUCAUUUAUAGAUUUAGGAUUCUAAAGGUUUUAAUCGUUAAUAAUAAGACAUAGUUCGACAACCAUAAGAUGAAGGAACAAUGUCAAAAACUCCAUAUCAACCAUUGAUUCUCCUCAGUGUCUCAUCCCUAAACAAACAACCAAGACAACUUACCAAUUGGAUUCUACUGAAUGGACUAAAAAAAAAGAUAGUAGAGGUUAAGUCAAAUUAGGUAGAGCUGUUAAAUAAGAUCUUGUGGGCCUACAAAACAACCUAGAAAACAUCUAUCGAGGAAAAUCCUUUUCUCCUCACCUAUGGAACGAAGGCCAUAAUCUUGGCUGAAAUCGAAUGCCCGAGUUAUGGAGUGGGCUGCUACAUAUCAAAAGGUACCCACCUAGACCUCAGGAAUAACCUAGAUUUCCUAGAAGAAACCCAUCUAAUUACAGCCAUAAAAAAAAAGGUAUAUAAGAACAAAAUUGCUUAUUAUCAUAAUGUUAAGGUUAAGAACAAAAUCUUCAAACUCGGUGACAUAGUACUGAGAAAGCUGGAGGAAAUUAGCAAUAAAAAAAUAAAGGAAAACUAGCCUUGAGAUGGGACAACCCCUUUCGAAUAACAAAAAUAGUAAAGACUAACACCUAACAUCUUCAAGAUAUAAAAGGAAGAAGUCUUCAUCACAUAUGGUACUCAUAUCAUUUGAAAUUAUAUCACAGUCAAUAAAGUAUAAAUUAUCCAUAUAUCCAAUAUGAUUUUUGUCUCUAACAGGGAAUGCCCAAGGGCCAUACCAAUCCAGAAUAAGGAAUCAAAAUAGCCAUUAUCCCACAACCUUACAAGGACGAAAUGGACAUGGUCUCCCUAGUGCGGUUGCAUAAUAAGCCUUAGAAGAGAUUAAUUGCCUCUAUAGCAUGAUUGCAUAAACUUACAUUGAAGGAGACAAACAUGGUCUUCCUAAUGCCCUGCAUAACCUCCGGAUAAGAAUGACAACGCCUUCAUCUAAAAAGGAUUGAUACCAUCUCUCUAGGACAAUCACCCCACAACCUUCAAGGAUGUGAUGAACAUGAUCUCCCUUGUGCGAUUGCAUAAUAAGCCUUGAAAGAGAUUGAUGUUUCCCUAGUGCGAUUACACAACUUAUUUUGAAGAGGACAUAUGUAAUAUCUAUAGUGCCCCUGCAUAACCUCCAAUGAUAGGAAUGACAACGACAUCAACACAAAUGAAUUGAUAACAUCUCUCUAGGGUAACUACUUUGGAGGGGAUAAAUUGUCUUUCUAGUGUGAUUGCACAACUUACUUUGGAAGGGAUAUAUAUAACUUCCCUAGUGCGUCGACACAACCUCCAAGAAUAGGAAUGACAACGCCAUUAACAAAGGAGAUACGAAUCUUCUAAGGCAAUAACCAACAACUCCCAAUGACAAGGAAGAAUCGGUUUUCACCAGUUGCUCUACAAAACAAUUUUCAUCUCCACAACACGAAUGCAUAUGUAAUCCUAAGGGCAUUGUAAUAAGCCUACUGAACACACAAAAAUAUACUUGCAACCCAAGAUUUCUCUUCGGUUCCAAGUAGAGGGGAAUCCUACCAAGGUUUGAUAUUUGAUAAACGUUUAGCUAGAUGGGUGUUAGACUCAAAGUGGUAUAACUGCGGGUGAGUGUGAGACCCAAAAGUGUUCAACUAAAAGAUAAGUAUUGGACCCAUAAAUAUACAGAUAAAAUAUGGGUGUUGGACCCUGAGAAAAUCUCUAUACCAAGGUUUUAAGGCCAUAUAAAUUAACAAAACAAGAAAUAUUUUUUAUCAAAAGAAGUUCUCAUUACACAAACGUAUAUUACAAUCAUCAACGCCAUAGGACUGGGGUGUAUAUAAGAAUAUACAUACUAAUAAAUAUACUAGGAGGCUUAGAGAUCCAACCCAACCUCCUCAGCUAAGUACUCUAUCCAGUGGGCAAUAACGACCCUAACAGGAAACACAUCCUCAAAAUCAUGCACAAGGAUGGGAUGAAAGGCAGCACUAAAGUCCAUCUGCAUUCCCUUAGAGCAAUUAAAGAAGUAUAGAUUGGACAUAGCUAGAAAAAUCUUGUCCCCAACUGUCUUAGACAAGCUUACUGACCCUCUAAAAACUUCUUGGAAUUCUUUAACAUAACUCUUAAAUGCCUCCACCCUCCAGCCUCUCUUAGAAGUCCUAAACUUCCUUUUUAGCAUCUUGGAACUCCAAACACAGAACAUCUUUAAAUGCUUGUAACUUCAUGAUAAUAUGCCUUAAAGUUGUAAUUUUAUGAAGGGCCUCCUGCAACCGCUAUUCAGUAGAGCUUAUAUGAAGAAUAGCUUCAUUUUACCCAUCAAGGAAACGUAUGCCGCUUUUAAACCUCUCAUCUCGGUCUCCAUGAUGGUCUUCUCCUUUCGGAGCCUUUAAAAAGUAGUAUGACCUUCUAUGUGACUAGUAAUAACAUCCUUCACCUAGCUCCUCUCAUAUGCCCAGAUCCUUUUAGAGUGGGUGCACAUUAUAAAAGUUUGUAAAUGAUAAAGGUUUAGAAGGCCUCGUAAGCAGAAAAGAAGAUAGAAAAGAUAUUCCUUAAAUUAAAACCCAUUUGGCUCAUCAAAGUUAAAUGACGGUGGUAGCUUUCACUAAACAUCUAGAGGAUAUCUGAAAGAAUGACGAGGACCCUUUUUCCACCAUCAACAACCUCUAUAACCCGCCUCUUCUCUUUAUUUAGGGCAGGAAAAUUGAAUGGGCUGAUUAAGUGCAAGAUGAGAAAAGGUGUCCUCAAACUUUUAGCCCCAAGAUGUGGACUCCGUAGUUGUAGCCUCCAUGACCACAAUAAAAGAUGAGAUAAAGAGACAUAUAUCUUCAUUACGAGGGAUCGAGUGCCUACCUCUAUAGGGGUGGAGGCCCUUCUCCUUUUAAAAAUAGACAGUGACACCCGUUAUCACUUCUAGGGGAGUCUAGUCAGCAUGAGCCCUAACCAGAGGGGUACGACUCCCCUUAGCUUCUAUUUAGGCAGGAGCUCUGACCCUCGUCAUUGCUCCCUCAUAAACUAGGAGCUCAUCCAAAAAAUCAGGUCAUGCUCCAUUUUUUUUCAAGAAAUUAAAACGUCUCUCUUGAUGAUGACAAACUCCUUUCUUUUGAUAUAGCUGAGGUCUCUCCUCCUUCCUCGACUAUCAACCCUGCAUAAAAAUAAAAUCAAAGGUGAUUUUUUGUUGAAUAAAAACAAAAGGAGAAAAGUUGCAUACUUUGUAACAGGUUCAUGUAUUCCUUUUUAGCCAUCUCGUUGACUUCGUAUUCCAUUAAGGUAGAAGCCAACAACUAAGAGUUUCCUCCUCACCAAGACUAAAACAAGGCAUGUUGUUCACCUCACGAGGAGGUACCUUCUAGGUAUGGGAACAACCCCGAAUUUGGUACAUACCUCCCUGAAGGCUAACUGUCCCAAUGAACCUCAUAAUUAGUCACCUCCCUCUCUAUUUCUUUGGGUACAUGGGCUUGCCUUUGAGAGAUUGUCCCUUGGCUCCACUAGGGCUAUUAGUAAAAAUAAGGAACCACCAGAAGUCAUUACCAUCAUCAGUACCCGUGACCAGUUGGUAACAAGAUCUGAAAAGGUUUAUGGUGAGCUCUACACUAACAAGCCUAAGAAACUUAUUAAAUGCUGAUAAGACCACCCACUAGAGUGUAAUUGUUCCGGGCCUAACCUAUAAUAUCUAAAAACAUCGCUAAUAAAUCCUUAAAGAGGGAAGGAAUGUCCUAUUUCAUACAUACACAAGGGGGCUAUAAUUUCAAAGCAUCCCCAAGUAGAAACCAAGGUCUCCUCACUGAUUCUUUCUUUCUUAAAAGGCUACUAGGCCACACGGGUGCCAAGUUAUCAACCAUUAACACCUCCACAACACUUAGAGUGUUGGGAGCGUCAAAUAUGAGGGUUGGAGGUGACCUUUCCCUCUCCUAAAAACCCCUUAAAAUACUAGGUGAAAUGAUGUUUAUGCUUCUAGAAUCAGAUCUAACCUUAUAAGAGUCCAUUUUUUCUAAGAAGAAGGAAAAUGAUGUACAAGAUGAAAAUUUAGGAGUGAUGACACGAACAAAAGAUUGAUGUCUUAUCCCAAGUGCAGGAGUGUCGAAGUAAUAAAUAACUCAGCAAGACUGGGGUCGAACCACAUGGAGGUGAACUAUAUAAAUUACAAAUAAUAUAUAUAUUUAAUAAAACAAAGAGUUUAUGAGAAUUUUAUGGGAUAUUGAUAUAAGGAUUAAACAAAGAUAAAACAAUUGUCAAGGUUAGAGGAUUCACUAAUGGUAUUUCAAAUAAGUAUAUUAUAAACUCUUUUUAUUACUCAACUGGAAACCACACACAAAGGAGGUUCCAAUCGGAUUAUAAAUUGCUAACAUGAUUACAUUAGUUAUCUUAUUCGAAUAAUGUUAAUACUUGUAAAUGUUGUUAGGUAUUCAUGAUAUUAAUUUAUGUUAACAACAAAUUAAAUUCCUUUCAUAACACAAGUGUCGGUUAUACCAUACAGUAGGUUAUGAAAGCGUCAAGUAUUUGUUGUACCAAGGGUUGUACAACAUAAAUCUAGAUUAACCAUUUAACAAGCAAAGUAUUAAGAGUGAAUAAGAUAACAAAUACAAAACAUGUUAGUAUCAAACAUCAAAGUCCAUGUUGAGUUUACACUAUACUUAUUCUUACACCAUUAGUGUAACCUUUUCACCUUGACAUAAUAAACUUAACUAAACAUAAUGAAAGAGAGAAACAUAAGUAAAUAAGAUAAGAACAUAAAUAAGAUAUAAGUUAACUAAGUAAAGGAAAGGAAAUGAAAAGCAUAAACAAGAGAUUAAUAUAACAUAAAAUAAAACUUGAACAUUACAAAAUAUAAAGAGAGAGAGUAAGAGCAAUAUCUUGAUCUGAACAACCAAUAUGCCUAAAUAUGUGGCAAAUGCCUCAUUUUAUAGGCUAAAAUUCAGAACUAUUGAUUUGAUGACUAAUUGUUGAGUGGGUGGCCACCUCUUUGACUUGGUGACAACCCUUAUCUUCUUGUCUGAACAAAAUGUCAUUGCUAACAUCCGAAUUUGAACAGAUAGUCUUCAUGAAAGUUUUGGAAAAUUGUCUCAGCUUUCCAACAAAAUAAGAAUGAGCUCAUUUUGACUUCUAGAACUCGAGAUAUGGGCUGAACACUAAACAUUGUCUGGGUUACAGGAUAGAUUCUGACGUCUCUUUUGUUGCUAUAAUUUGAACUUGAAAACGGACGUUUUGAAUCUUGGACUAUGCAUGAAAGUUUUAGGCCUAUGUCUUAGCUUUCCAUCCAUAUAAACCAAAUGUAAAUCCAAGUUCUACAGCUCCAGUUAUGAUCCAAUAACCGAGUGGUGUUCCAGUUUGAAUUGAACCAUCAUCUGUUCUCCAAACUUAGCCCUCUCUUUAUCUUCUCAAUUUCAAUAGUUAAACAAAUCAAUCAAUACUUUGAAUUGUGAAACAUGCCUGCAUUUGAAAUGAGCAUUUACCAUAAAUUAAAGAUAUCUUAUAUUAUUAGACUUAUUAUAAAACAUACUUAAGUUAGAGAAUUUAAUGAUACUUUAAGUGCAAUAUGAUGAUAUAAAACCUUGAUAAAAAUACACUUUUAAGUACUAAUCAAGUGACUUACUUAAGAAAUCUCGAAAUCAACUUGACAAUAACUGCAAAAAGUAAAAGAAAGAUGGAGGUAAAUGACUAGGUUUAUAAAGGAGACGAUUUAUCACCCCAACUGUUGGAUAAAGAACAUGUUAUAUCAUCUCAGAUCUCUAGAAAUAUGCUCAAAUACUACAUUAAAUACAAGCCAUCUUUUUUAUUUCUAAAAAAGACCUCUAAUAAGGAUGUGACGUUUGGCCAAGAGGAUCUUAACAAUUAAAUUUUGGGAAGACAAAACACACAAGGAAGGUAAAGAGAUCAAUUGAUUAAAGAGGAUGGCCUUUUCAAGAUUUUCACGUAUUAAAUUCACAAAGACUUGGGGGGCUACUAAUGGAUCGAAGUAUUUCAUACUGAAAACCAUUUUUUUCCUCAUAAAACUUAUGACUAGAAGGGAUCAAGAGAAAAAAGAUCUAUUAUAGAAGCUCAGUAGAGGCCAGGGCCCAUGGUAAGAAGGUCUAGAAAAAUGUUAGGCCCAACCUCCUUUGGGCUCGGCUACAGCCGGGCUUAAACUCUUAUGGUUUUAGCAAGAUGUCAAACCCAACCCCCUUGGGCUUGGCUACGCGCAGAUCCCAAGCGCCUGUGGGUCUGACGAGAUGUCAUACUCAACCCUUUUAAGCUCAUUUAAACGUCAGGCCUAAACGUCUGUGGGUUUUGCAAGAUGACAGACCUAACCCUUUCGGCUUAGUUACGCACUAGACCCAAAAUGCUAGGAUCAACGCCUUUUUGAGCCAAGGAUUCCUUUAGAUACAAGCACCCAAUUUGGGAAUCUAGGGUCAUCAUCUCCUUACACCCUAUCUAUGCAAAAAGUCCUCUAAAGGUUGUCCAUGCAUCAAUUAGUAUUAAUGUUGAUUAUAAGGGAUGAUCCCAUAAACAUUAAUAUCAUGUAUAGAUUGAUGUAGGAUCAUCUUUUGUAGGCAUAUGAUACUCCCAUCAAUAAUUAAUGCCAUGUAAGGAGAUACUUAUAAUCAAAAUUAAUGUUGAUUGUAAGGGUCUUCCUUCCAUUUGGAUAUGAAGAAGAAAAAGACCCACAACUCCUCAAAUAAGAAAAAGAAAAAUUCAAGGUUAUAAAUAUUGUAUGAAUGAUCCAGGAAAGUGGUUCACCAUCUUCACUCUCUUACAACUUAUUCUCAACAUUUAUCAUAUAUAAACUAAGAACAAACUUUCUUGUUCUUAUAAUUUAAUGCUCAUUUAUUGCAACUCUUUAUAAUAAAAUCACUAAUUUAAUCAUCGGAGGGUCCCUAAAAUCCAUAAAGGACUGUUUUGUAGGAAAUCUAGCCCCCGUCACCAACCCCUAGAAUCCUUAGUUAUGAAAAAUAGAAGAUGAACAUGAACAUGAAUACGUGAUCAUCUAUCAUCCAAACACGGUGAAAAAUAACUUACCUAGCAUUCUAAAUUUUAGAGUAUCAUCAAUAUCCUAAUCCAGGCCUUAGUUUUGUCAGGUCUUUAAUUCCCUCGCAUCCCGCGCCUCCAAAUUAAAAGCAUACCAACAAAUAUUAUUAUAAUAAUUUAUCACAGGCCUUCAUAGAGACUGAUGGAAAAAUCCUUCAGAAUAUCCAGGAAGGUUUGUUUGAUGUAUCCAACGAGGUAAUCAUUUAAUAGGCAGUGUCUAGAACCAUCCAUUUAUCAUUUCAGUGCAAGUUGAUGUUUGUUUUGUUGAUACCUUUGUUGUUACAAAUGUAGUCAUUAGGGAUUAAGGUUGGAUAGGACCCCCAAGGUGCAUCAUAUACAAGGGAUGGAACUGUUGCUCAAAGAGGAGGGUGCUGCAGCUAAUUGAAACACAAAUAAAACCUGUUUAUUUGUUCUUAUUAUGCAAUGUCAUCCUGCAUAUUUGGAUCCCGCAAAACUUUCAUUGGAUCCCGUAAAACUUUCAUGUGACUACAUAUGAACAUUUAAAGUUAUGUUUGAAAGUGUGAUUGCAGUUGCUUUUCAAAAUGCCUUUUACUUGGAAAUUAAAAUCAAAAUUUUUAUUUUUUUUAUAUCAGCGCAUUAAAAUGAUCUGAAAACACAGAAAAAAAACAAAAAUAUAAAAAAAUUUAAAUUUUUUUCAAAAACAUUUUUGAAACGCAAAAAAAAUAAAAUUUUAACAUAGAGAUCACAUUGGUUAUCUGAAGUUGGUCGAUUAAGUUCAGAUACAUGCAUGAAAGCCCGCAUGCUUCUUCAUAGCUUUUCUGAAACGUAAUUUUUUUUAUCGGAGAUUCAUGACUCCACCUUGUACAGUAUUGCAAGUUCAUCUGAAAUCAUCUACCAAGGUGCAUCAUGAAAACAACUGCUCCAUUUUUUAAUGACAAGUGGUUGAAGAGGCACAUGCAGGUAACCAUACAUGUCGACAGACUUGCGGCAGCUAUAUGAGCUCUCAGUUCAGGUCAGGAUGGAUACAAACAUAGACUGGAGUGGCUCUUCUCCUUUAGAUUUACAAAGAUGCUACGAGACAUGGAGCUUCCUCCAUUCGGUCAGCAUAUGCUAGAGAGAGAUCCUUGACCUAAAAUAGAUUGCAGCCUGGUUCCGGGGAAUCUGCACGCUGCCUUAUUACCAAUAUCUUGCAUCCAAAUUUGCAAAAGUUCGGGUGCCUUGUAAAGGCUGAAAGAGAACAAGACCGACGGGCAGUAAUUCCAUGAGCAAAAUAAUGAUCUUAAAACAGAUAGGUGAUUGUAAAAUACACAGGUUGCCCAUAUGAUCUUACAAGACUACUGUUGAUGAGUUACUUCAUUUUGAUCAAAUCAUCAAAUGUUACAAACAGUAUCAAAAUUGUGAGCUGCGCACGCAUCAAAAUGCAUCGCAUGCAUAUGGGAGAGCAAAGCAAUAAAUUUUAUCACAUAAGCUCCUCAUCCUGAACAUAAAGUGACAUGCUCGCAACCCCAUCACUAUGAACCACCAAAUACCUGCAUACAGCAGCAAAACUUAGAUCCAAUGAAUAGAUUAGGUGUUGAAAGUUGUUACCUACAAAUAAUGACUCACCCCUGCCAGGACAUCUUUAGAGAGUUGAGGUUUGCUUCUCUCUCUUUCAGCAAUUGGUUUUUUCUGUGGGAAUUGUCGGCAAACCGGUGGUUUCUGUGGGGCAACAGAAAGUUCACCUCCAGAUUCUUGUUGGACCUUCUGCUUCUAUAAAUAGAAAAGGAAACCCAUGACGUGAAGGAGGUUGAAGAAUAUAUGAUGCCAUGCCAUAAAAAAGAGAGAAAAAGUCCCAGAAUGCAAAUGGUGAAACCAUUAAUUUACAUUACAAGAAAGACAUACUAAACAAAACAGAAUGGCAUGAAAUUCAUGAGACUUUAUAAUUAGUUAGGGGUAUCAAAGCAUCAGCAUGUACAAAAAAAAAUUCCAAUAAAAAACAAAACCAUUCAAAACUAAGAUUUAUUUCCAAUAAAAAACAAAACCAUUCAAAACUAAGAUUUAUAUAUUUUGAUCGACUUGGAUAUAUAACACUCCUUAUGUCAAAACAUAUAUAUAUAUAUAUAUAUAUAUAUAUAUAUAUAUAUAUAUGUUUUGACAUAAGGAGUGUUAUAUAUCCAAGUCGAUCAAAAUAGGAAAUAACAAUUGUCUGGCAAAAUUUGAGAGACUAUAUUUCAUGUUCACACAGACGCAUAUAUAUACAUAUGCUACAUCUUUAUCAGUUGCAAAUUGCAAGCAUGCUGCCCUUAAACCCAAUCAAGUACAUGCCUCUAAAGCACCUACAUUUUCAAGUUCCCUCAAAAACUUAUGGUUCCUGGCUUACCCAUCAGAGCUUGCCAUGUCCAAUGAAAUGAAAAGAUAACUGGUUUUGACAUUUACUGACAUAAGGAGCUAGGAGGGGUAUAAUAAAGUCUCUUUGUUAAGUAUUCAUUGAGGAUUUUACAAUAAUUAUCACAUAAGCAGCAUAUUAAGGAUUACAAUAACAGAGAGUAUCUGAUUAGUGUUCAUUGACGAAUUCAUCAUAGAUGAUCAUGCAAGCAGCAUAUUCUAAUGCAUGCUCAACACCUAUGGAUGUGAAAUACAGAUUUGAAAACAUCACAUAAAUAAAACACAAACAUAUGCAUGCACAUCACCGCCCUCUGAUAACAAUACACCCUCAAUCCUCCUAUUCCUAUUCCUCUUAUUUCUUCCAUCCUAUUGAAGAGAACUACCUUUUUUUAAUCAAAUUUCAAUGAUAUAAUUAAUUUCAACCAUAUAGAAGGAGCUGACACAUGGCAUUGUGUCUCAGCUGUGUCCAUACCAUAACUCAUCAUGAAAGUGUCAUGCUACUGAGGGAAGGAGGCUAACUCUUACAAAACAAAAGGAACCUAUUCGAUCAGACGUCAAAAUGAUUUACCUGCCUCUCUAAAUAAACAAAAAAAAAAUCAUUUAAUUACAAGUUUCAAGUACCUACUAACAAAUUUCAGAUUCACGGUGAAAAUAUCUGGCUUUAAUUGAUUCUAAGCUAGCCAUACUGCCCAACUAUUGUGCCAAACAUACUUAAACUGACCUAGACGGAACUUGAGUAUUGUAGUCCUGACACAGAACGAAAAGCCAAGUUUAAUUCCUUAAACAGGUGCAUCAAAUUGAUGACUUGAACAUUGCCAAAAUAUCUCAAAACAGCACCAUAGAUGGUGGUUCCAGGAAAAAAAAGUCUGUAACAGUGAGAAGUUAUAGAUGCUGUUUACCUUCUUCAUUCGUUCUUCAAUAGAGCUUAAGGCACGAGACUGGUCAACUUUUUUGAGAUAGAAAUCCCGCUCCCUCUUUGCAGCAGAAAUUUCUAACGCUAAUUUUUGUUCCCGAAUAGCUUUCUUGUAAGCUGCAUUUAAAGCACUAUAAUUUAGACACACAAUAAACUGUAAAACAUGAUAAGAUAGAGCACAACAGAAAUGAGUGAUAUACCAAUUUCGUCUGUAAGAUUAUCCCAUUUGAAUUUACUUAGAUACUUGAUAUUCCAAUGAUCAUAAUAGAAUUGUGACCGCUUCUUCCCACCUAAAAAAUAAAAGAAGACAGAAGAAAUUAAAGAACACUUGGAGGAAAAAAUAAGUAAAUUAUUUACAAAGCAAUCCCAGCACACAUAAGCUAACCCUUUUUUUGUUUUAAGAAAAAAAGAUAUGACAAAGAAUAGGUAAAAUCAACAACAAAAAAAAAAUCUAUACAAAGAACAAGAACUUGACAUGUUUCCUUGAUGGUUUCUCUACAGAGCAAACUAAAAAUUCUCAUUCAACUCAACAAAACAAAAGGACAUAAGAAAAAAUUAUAAAUUACCUAUUUGUUCACCAUUUAACAAAUUAGCAACCCUUUUAGCAUUACUUUUACUAGCAAACUCAACCCACCUGAAAAACACAACAAACAAAGCAAUUACAUAAUAAACAACACAAUUCAAAUAUAUGUUCAUGUAAUUAACACAAAAAUGUAUGAAAAUUACCCUUCAGAGUAUGCUUGAGCUUUAGCUCCACCACCUCUUUUUCUACUCUUAUUGUUAUCAUUCACUUUAUCAAUAGAAGAACUAUCUGCAAACACACAGCAAAAAUUUCUCAAUAAAAUUGAAAACCCAUUUUUCCCCUUAUUUUUAAAUAUAAACACAAAAGAAGUAUCAGAAACUAUACUUUGAGGAGCAAGGUAAAUUCGUUGAAUUUCACCGUACUGACUGAGAAGUUGACGAAGCUUAACAUGAUCCAUACCAGGAGGAACUCUACUUAUGUAACAAACACCACGCUUCUGAGCCUUUUCUGCUUCUUUCUUUAACUUUUUCUUCUUUCCCUCCUCUAAAAACAACACUUGUUCUUGUUCUUUAUGUUCCUCACUCAUUCUUUCCUAAAAUAAAAAAGGGAAGAAAUGGAUAAAAUUACACAGGCUAGGUUAACCUAGCUUCAGGUUAGCUGAAAUACAAAAUUCAUAACAAAUAUCCUAUCCUUAAAAUUUUAGAAACUAAACAAGAAGACAACAUUAAUAAACAUUCUAAAAGGCUAAGAGGCAUUGAGGCACUUGCCUAGGCACUCCAUGCAAGGCAAAGCGAGGCCACAACACCUUUAUUAGCCUCGGACGAUGAAUUUAAAUGAAGUGCUGCCUAGGCAAUUGCCUCGUGAGUGGGCACCAGGUGUUAAAGCGAGUGCCUCACUGAAAUACUUCUUUUUCUGUUGGAUUUUCCCUUUUUUUAAAAAAUAAUUUAUGUUGACCUAUUUGUCCAUUUUUUUAUUUAUCACAAGAAACAAGUUAGGGGUAUUUUUUUUUUUUUAAAAAAAAGCAAAGAUUAGGGUAAAAAAAGAAUUAAAAAAUCAGUAAAGUAUGAGGCAUACAGGAAGGAAGGACACUUGAAGAGAAACAUGAGCCACACUUUGUGUUGAGCAGAGUAGAGAACAACAACACAAGUAUAGAACAAGCAUGGAUGAGGAUGUUUUAGAAGAUUAAUGAAUAAUGAUGAUGAUUUUAAGGUUUUUUUUUAAUCUAUUUGGCUACUUACUACAUUACUACUUCAAAUUAUCUUUUUUUGUUUUAAGGGUGAAAAAUAUAACUUUAUACAACUAUGUUAAGGUAUUUUAUAUUUUCUUUUGAUUUUCUAAAGAUCUAAUCUUAAUUGGAAAGAUAUAUUUUUUAGAUUUAUAUAAUAUAAUAUAACAUCAUACAUAUAUAUUUUUUAAUCUAUAGUAUAUCGCCUUGGUUCAUUCGGGCGAGCGCCGAGCACCUCGGUCAUUUUACUGACUUGGUGCCUUUUAGCGCCUUCUACCUUUGACAACACUGAUGCCAAGCUAGCCAUUGUUUCAAUCCAAGAAUUAUUGACUGAUAAUCGAAUUGCAUGAUAACAAUAACAGCACAGUAAUGAAAAUAAAACUUCCUACCACACAAGUAACUUCGUCGCAAACUUCUCAAAUACAUUAAUGCAUACAUCAGCAUCCAUUGAGAGAGAGAAAAAACCCGGCCGGGAAAAAAAAACAGUAACAUACCAGUCUGGCACGCUCUCCCUUUUCCUCGGUAGCUUCAUCUUUAAAAGUUUUCUCGACCUGCAAUAUUUUCCAAGUAAAGUCAACUUCAAAAACAAAUUUCCAAAACUAAAAAAAGAUAUGGGAAGCACUAGUCAGCAACCGGCAUACCACCAUUGCAAAGCUUAAACCUAAAGUCAUCCGGAAUAUCCACACCGUUAAUCAAAUCCAUGCAUAAAACCCUAAGAAUUCUAAAAAUAAUUCAAAUCCAUGCAUUACAAUGAAAAUUGAAAUGGUUAAAAACGAGAUAGACGGGAACAAUCAAUAAUGUUCGAUAAGAAAAUAGAAGAUUUCAUAGGAAAUCCAAAGAAAGCUUGAUUUUCUUUCCCUUUUAUCAAAAUCCAAAGCAUUAAAGCCUCAAUGCUGGCCUAGUCUAGCCUAGCCUUCUCCUUCCCUUUCUUUGGUGUUUGACAGACUGGACAAGAAUCUAGAAAGAUAAAAAAAAUCCUCACCAUGACUCACGGGUAGUGGAUCGGGAUGGCCUGCGGCUGCUGCCGAUGCUACUGGAGCUACUACUACUGCUUAUGUAGAGGAGGCUGAAGGUGGCUGCUACGAAGGAGGAUGGCAGACGGCGGUGGUGGAAAAGACUUAGGAGGAGGCUGCUGGAACUGGGUGAAUAGCGAGCGAGGAAGAACAAUCGUCUCACUUUGGCCUUUGGGUUGGGUGAUGAUGGCGCUUUGCUUUAGGGUUUAUUAAAAAAAAAAAAAAAAAAAAAAAAAAAAAAAAA
RNAcentral lists this long non-coding RNA (24676 nucleotides) under Populus trichocarpa (black cottonwood). RNAcentral describes it as "long non-coding RNA (PTRI_LNC000339)". The stretch from base 16531 to 16686 matches the Rfam family "MIR2912 microRNA precursor family". Lineage: Eukaryota; Viridiplantae; Streptophyta; Magnoliopsida; Malpighiales; Salicaceae. The record is from RNAcentral.